RNAcentral lists this ribosomal RNA (251 nucleotides) under uncultured bacterium. RNAcentral's name for it is "partial 16S ribosomal RNA". It matches the Rfam family "Bacterial small subunit ribosomal RNA", at positions 526 to 779 of the family's 1533-position model. The record is from RNAcentral.
CGUAGGUGGCAAGCGUUGUCCGGAAUUAUUGGGCGUAAAGCGCGCGCAGGCGGCUACUUAAGUCCAUCUUAAAGUGCGGGGCUUAACCCGUGAUGGGAUGGAAACUGAGAAGCUGGAGUGUCGGAGAGGAAAGUGGAAUUCCUAGUGUAGCGGUGAAAUGCGUAGAGAUUAGGAAGAACACCGGUGGCGAAGGCGACUUUCUGGACGACAACUGACGCUUAGGCGCGAAAGCGUGGGGAGCAAACAGGAUU